GACCCGUCUUGAAACACGGACCAAGGAGUUUAACAAACGUGCGAGUCUGUGAGUUUAUAAACUCAUCGGCGUAAUAAACGUAAAGACAAGCUUUAGUUUGUCGAGAUACGAUCCUGGGUCUCUCGAGGCCUGGGCGGAGUAUCGUCCCAUCUGAGUGGUUCGACCGCUAGGUGGAGAUUGAGCACGUUUGUUGAGACCCGAAAGAUGGUGAACUAUGCUUGAGCAGAACGAAGCCAGAGGAAACUCUGGUGGAGGUUCGUAGCGGUUCUGACGUGCAAAUCGAUCGUCAGACUUGAGUAUAGGGGCGAAAGACUAAUCGAACCAUCUAGUAGCUGGUUCCAUUCGAAGUUUCCCUCAGGAUAGCUGGAGUUUGUUGAUGGAUAGUUUUAUCCGGUAAAGCGAAUGAUUAGAGGAAUUGGGGACGAAAUGCUCCUCAACCUAUUCUCAAACUUUAAAUGGGUAAGAAGCGAAACUUGCUUGAUUGAAGUUUCGUCUUCUGAGAAUAUAGAGCUCCAAGUGGGCCAUUUUUGGUAAGCAGAACUGGCGCUGUGGGAUGAACCAAACGCCGAGAUAAGGCGCCGGACAUGAAAGCUCAUCAGAUUCCAGAAAAGGUGUUGGUUGAUAUAGACAGCAGGACGGUGGCCAUGGAAGUUGGAACCCGCUAAGGAGUGUGU
Molecule: ribosomal RNA, 674 nt
Filed under: Nematoda environmental sample
Lineage: Eukaryota; Metazoa; Nematoda
Description: LSU rRNA
Rfam family: Eukaryotic large subunit ribosomal RNA
Source: RNAcentral